GAAUUAUUGGGCGUAAAGCGCGCGCAGGCGGUCCCUUAAGUCUGAUGUGAAAGCCCACGGCUCAACCGUGGAGGGUCAUUGGAAACUGGGGGACUUGAGUGGCAAAGAAGGAACUGUGGAUUUCCAGUGUAUACGGUGAAAUGCUGUGUAAGAUGUUGAGGAACACCAGUGGCGAAUGCGAGUUACUGGUCUGUAUCUGACGCUGAAGCGCGAAAGCGUGGGGAGCAAACAGGAUUAGAUACCCUGGUAGUCCACGCCGUAAACGAUGAGUGUUAAGUGUUAGGGGGUUUCCGCCCCCUUAGUGCUGCAGCUAACGCAUUAAGCACUCCGCCUGGGGAGUACGCCCGCAAGGCUGAAACUCAAAGGAAUUGACGGGGGCCCGCACAAGCGGUGGAGCAUGUGGUNUAAUUCGAAGCAACGCGAAGAACCUUACCAGGUCUUGACAUCCCGCUGCCCGCCUUAGAGAUAAGGCUUUCCCUUCGGGGACAGCGGUGACAGGUGGUGCAUGGUUGUCGUCAGCUCGUGUCGUGAGAUGUUGGGUUAAGUCCCGCAACGAACGCAACCCUUGAUCUUAGUUGCCAGCAUUCAGUUGGGCACUCUAAGGUGACUGCCGGUGACAAACCGGAGGAAGGUGGGGAUGACGUCAAAUCAUCAUGCCCCUUAUGACCUGGGCUACACACGUGCUACAAUGGACGGUACAAAGGGCUGCAACCCCGCGAGGGCAAGCCAAUCCCAGAAAACCGUUCUCAGUUCGGAUUGCAGGCUGCAACUCGCCUGCAUGAAGCCGGAAUCGCUAGUAAUCGCGGAUC
Molecule: ribosomal RNA, 809 nt
Filed under: uncultured bacterium
Lineage: Bacteria
Description: bacterial SSU rRNA
Rfam family: Bacterial small subunit ribosomal RNA
Source: RNAcentral